UAUGUAGGUGGCAAGCGUUGUCCGGAAUUAUUGGGCGUAAAGCGCGCGCAGGCGGCCUCUUAAGUCUGAUGUGAAAGCCCCCGGCUCAACCGGGGAGGGCCAUUGGAAACUGGGAGGCUUGAGUAUAGGAGAGAAGAGUGGAAUUCCACGUGUAGCGGUGAAAUGCGUAGAGAUGUGGAGGAACACCAGUGGCGAAGGCGACUCUUUGGCCUAUAACUGACGCUGAGGCGCGAAAGCGUGGGGAGCAAACAGG
This 253-nucleotide ribosomal RNA is filed under the name uncultured bacterium. RNAcentral's name for it is "partial 16S ribosomal RNA". It matches the Rfam family "Bacterial small subunit ribosomal RNA", at positions 524 to 776 of the family's 1533-position model. The record is from RNAcentral.